Molecule: ribosomal RNA, 253 nt
Filed under: uncultured bacterium
Lineage: Bacteria
Description: partial 16S ribosomal RNA
Rfam family: Bacterial small subunit ribosomal RNA
Source: RNAcentral
UACAGAGGGGGCAAGCGUUAUUCGGAAUUAUUGGGCGUAAAGGGCGCGUAGGCGGUUUGACAAGUCUGAUGUGAAAUCUAUGGGCUCAACCCAUAGCCUGCAUUAGAAACUGUCGGGCUUGAGUAUGGGAGAGGUGAGUGGAAUUUCCGGUGUAGCGGUGAAAUGCGUAGAUAUCGGAAGGAACACCUGUGGCGAAAGCGGCUCACUGGACCAUAACUGACGCUGAGGCGCGAAAGCUAGGGGAGCAAACAGG